GCUGUGUUUGUACGCGAGGUUCAGCUCUGCCUUAUUUUGGUUGCCAUCUUCGGCUUGUUGUUUCGUGUGACGGUUGCAACGUUGGUUUUUCGUUGCGUUUUCAAUUUCCCGAUCAACCUUUGGAGGCUGCUGCUGUUGCGGUGAAAACAAGGCAGACACGAGCUACUUCGAAACCGGUAUCUGACUUGCGCCGAGCAGCAUGGACAACUUCGAGCGAAUAUUGGUCGACGUCGACUGCAGCCGGUACGAGGAGGAUGCGUUUUCGCUGCUGGAUAAGUCGCGGGAUGUCAACAUAGUGCGGGACCUGCGCUCAUCGACCGUGUCGGCGUUUGAUCAGACGAGCUUCCCGCAGCUGAAUAUUUCGUCCCGCACGCAACUCAAGCAGCAGCUGUUCCGCGAGCAGAUCAAAAACAGUGAGCCCGGACCGCGCGCCAUGGUUACCUCGCCCGGACCGCCCGUGCUAUCCGUACGGCUUCCACUCGAGAACAUCGACAUCGAGCUGCCGAAAAAGGUGCUCCAGGUAGAGACGAAGUUGGAGAACCCGACGCGCUACCACGUGAUACAGAAGCAGAAGACGCAGGUGCGUGAGUAUGUGACGGCGGCGCUCAAGCUGACCAAGCAGAAUCUGGUGCGUGAGUCGUGCCGCCACACACGUCUCAUGAUUCUCGGCCGGCUGUACGAUUCGUUCAUCAACACAAAGCCCACGCAAGGUCAGGCAACGCCGGGCGGCCAGGCUGCGAUUGGUGCGCCAGGUCCAGGCGGCGGCGGUGGUGGAGGAACUACUGCUAAUGGCAGCGGACCUGGUGCCGUCACUCCACUGGGACCCUCGUCAGGGAAGCUGGCGAGUGGUGGUGGAACGCCCGUGGCAGCGAUGAUGACAGGGACGCCCUCGGCAACACCGACCAUUGAGCAGCAGCAGGAGUGGCGGCUGGAGAUGAAACUAUCCUGCCGCUUCGGCAACAAGCUGUACCAGACGUUCGUGGAUGAGUUCGACUAUGUGCGAGACCUGCUCGGGCUGAUCCGGUUCGAGAUCCCCAAGUGGGUGUACGUGGUGUCAGAGUUCGAGGACGAGAUUUCAUCGUACGAGAGUAGUAGGGCUGCAAGGGCGGCUCAGCAGGCUGCGGCAGCCGCUAUCUCCGACCAGGAGUACCUGCUUCGCUCGAGCUUAGGCGGUGAGAAGGGAUCAAAGCACGAGAAGUUCAUCGAGCCGGAGGUGCGCGACCGGAUAAAGAAGGAUAACCACAACUGCAGUAGGUAUCGGGCGUAGUGGACCUGACGUUUAUUGGAACCCUGGUGAACCCUCUGGAGAUACGCUGUCUCCUUUUCUGUAGUAAGCUCCAAGUAGCAUCGGUAUGUAAGGAUUCUAAGGUUGUGUCAAAGCCUACAAACGUAUGGUUUAUCCAAAUUUGAAGCUAAUAUGGUGAUGAACACGUAACAUCCAUCCAUCUAUUUUGAAGUCCAGUUCAUGAUGUGGUGUCUGGAUUGUAUCACAUUGUCUAUACACUAGAAAUGUUCUAUUCUGGACAGCCAGUUUGCUGUCUUUGCUUUCUUUGUUUCUCGCUUUCCCUUUUUUCCAUCUACAAGAGUCUCUAGUAUCUGGGAGUCGGAACGUUCUGCGAUAUAGAGUGAUAGCUGUCUUCCUCUUGGCUGUGCAAAGUGCCCCCAACGCUAGUCUCCGGUGUUUGGAAUCAACACUACGAGCGGGCCGCAGUCCAUUCCGGAGGAUAUGUUUUCGUCAGCGGCUGCAAAUGACAGCGAGGCGGUUGUAAAUAAAUAAGCAGCACGAAUAAAACGCUGAGGUCCGCGGUUCAACACCUCGGCGAAAAGUCGGCCCUACCCCCUGCCAGAGGAUACGAUGGAUAUGACCUUCCGAGUUUAGGUCCGGCAGCUCCAGGGAUGAAUAAAAUAUAACCAUCGAAUAUGGUUCCAACGAAACCAGAAUGUUUUCGAAUCAAGCUACCAGAGCUGAUCGGGAUUCCCGUCGGUCAGUUCCUUGUCUCGUCGUAAAGGCAGGAGAGGUCGGGUUACAUCGGUGGAGUCUUCAGCAUCGUUCGUAUCGAUCCACGGAAUGAUUUUGAGUUUCUAUCAGAAGACGACUAUUGAUUCUUCACCUCUUCCAGUGAUACUACGCUCGAUGAGAUAAAGUGACCUUAUGGAAAAAACUACUGCAUCGCUAAUCGAAGGUCAAUAAACCAAAGACAUUUCCUCGACGAUAUCUUGUGCAACUUAUUUUGCAAAAGUAAACCGUGGCAGAAAGGAUAAGAAUCAUCCUGGAAGGGAAAGAUCUAAACAAAAAGGCUUAAAGUCGUUGAAACCGAUGUAAAAGGCAAUUCCUAUGGCAAUAAAUUUCAGGCAAUGCAACCAAGUGUCUGUACUCCU
RNA transcript from Anopheles coustani, 2379 nucleotides. RefSeq lists it as uncharacterized. NCBI's taxonomy places the organism in Eukaryota, Metazoa, Arthropoda, Insecta, Diptera, Culicidae. The record is from RefSeq and is a predicted model, not a curated record. The transcript is spliced from 4 exons.